UACGUAGGGUGCGAGCGUUGUCCGGAAUUAUUGGGCGUAAAGAGCUCGUAGGUGGCUUGUCACGUCGGGUGUGAAAGCUUGGGGCUUAACUCCAGGUCUGCAUUCGAUACGGGCUGGCUAGAGGUAGGUAGGGGAGAACGGAAUUCCUGGUGUAGCGGUGAAAUGCGCAGAUAUCAGGAGGAACACCUAUGGCGAAGGCAGCUCUCUGGGACGGUACUGACGCUGAGACGCGAAAGCGUGGGGAGCGAACAGG
This 253-nucleotide ribosomal RNA is filed under the name uncultured bacterium. RNAcentral's name for it is "partial 16S ribosomal RNA". It matches the Rfam family "Bacterial small subunit ribosomal RNA", at positions 524 to 776 of the family's 1533-position model. The record is from RNAcentral.